UUCCAGCUCCAAUAGCGUAUACUAAUGUUGUUGUGGUUAAAAAGCUCGUAGUUGUAGCUGGGUCAAGAAACCUCAUGUGCAAGCACACGAGGUGGUAGUUGAUUGGAAGGAAAGGCAAGCCAAUUGACUUUCAAAGGUUGAUUGAGCUGGGUCUGUGUUUACUUUGAAAAAAUAAGAGUGCUAAAGGCAGACUAGAAGUUGGAAUAGUCGUGCAAGGAAUAAUAUAACAAGGAGUUGUGUUUGUUAUGUUGGUCUCUACCAGAACCCAAUGAUAAAUAGAGAUUGUCGGGGGCAUAUGUAUUCAAGCGCUAGAGGUGAAAUUCUUGGACCGUUUGAAGACAUCCAAAAGCGAAAGCAUAUGCCAAGUAUGUUUUCUUUAAUCAAGAACGAAAGUUAGAGGAUCGAAGGCGAUUAGAUACCGCCCUAGUUCUAACCAUAAACGAUGCCGACCAGUAAUCUGGGACAUGUCUAUCGACGUGGCUUCAGGCGACCUUUGGAAACUAAAGUCAUUUGGUUCCAGGGGGAGUAUGGUUGCAAAGCUGAAACUUAAAGUAAUUGACGGAAGGGCACCACCAGGAGUGGAGCUUGUGGCUUAAUUUGACUCAACACGGGAAAACUUACCAGGCCAGAACACUAGAAGGAUUGACAGACUAAGGGCUCUUUCUUGAUUUGGUGGUUGGUGGUGCAUGGCCGUUCUUAGUUGGUGGAGUGAUUUGUCUGGUUAAUUCCGAUAACGAACGAGACUCUCACUUGCCAAUAAGGACACUGUUUCCAAAUUGAAGCUGGGCGGAAACAAACACUCAUCUUGAAGAUGUGUGCCUUCUUGGAAGGGUUAGUUAAAGAAAGUAGCUAAAGAAAGAGCAAUAACAGGUCUGUGAUGCCCUUAGAUGUUCUGGGCCGCACACGUGCUACAAUUGAAUAGUCAAUCUGUACCUGGGUCGAAAGAACUAGGCAAACAGUUAAACUAUUCAACAGUCGGGAUUGUCGCUUGAAAUUGUUCGACAUGAACCUGGAAUUCCUAGUAAAGGCCAGUCAAUAGCUGGUCUUGAUUGAGUCCCUGCCCUU
This 1065-nucleotide ribosomal RNA is filed under the name uncultured eukaryote. Its description in RNAcentral is "SSU rRNA". It matches the Rfam family "Eukaryotic small subunit ribosomal RNA", at positions 583 to 1660 of the family's 1831-position model. The record is from RNAcentral.